RNAcentral lists this ribosomal RNA (312 nucleotides) under Propionibacterium acidifaciens. Its description in RNAcentral is "bacterial SSU rRNA". It matches the Rfam family "Bacterial small subunit ribosomal RNA", at positions 140 to 448 of the family's 1533-position model. Lineage: Bacteria; Bacillati; Actinomycetota; Actinomycetes; Propionibacteriales; Propionibacteriaceae. The record is from RNAcentral.
GGUAUAGCACUCGGAAACCAGGUGGUAAUCACCGAAUAUUCAGUUUCCCGGGCAUCCGGGUGUUGGAAAGCUUUUUGCGGUCCGGGAUGUCUCGCGGCCUAUCAGCUGUUGGUGGGGUAGUGGCCCACCAAGGCCUUGACGGGUAGCCGGCCUGAGAGGGCGACCGGCCACAUUGGGACUGAGAUACGGCCCCAGACUCCUACGGGAGGCAGUCAGUGGGGAAUAUUGCACAAUGGGCGGAAGCCUGAUGCAGCAACGCCCGGUGCGGGAUGAACGGCCUUCGGGUUGUAAACCGCUUCACCCAUGCGAAGC